Molecule: non-coding RNA, 439 nt
Organism: Pelobates cultripes (western spadefoot toad)
Lineage: Eukaryota; Metazoa; Chordata; Amphibia; Anura; Pelobatidae
Source: the annotation of a GenBank genome assembly
UACAUCAAAACCACUCUAUUAAGCUUAAAUUAUUUUGGUGUAUAGAUCAUGCUCCUGCAGUCUUACUGCUCAAUUCUCUGCCGUUUACGAGUUUGAUCACUUUGUUUAUGCAGCCCUAGUCACAUCUAUGUCUCAGAUACAGUCGCCGUACAAAUGUAAAGAGAGAUCUAAUGUUUAAACUUCCUUUAUUGCACAAACUGUUUAAUUUAGAAUUUCCCAUCACCUGCUCUGUUAUUAGCCUACUAAAGGCAAGCAGGAGCCUCCUGCGCAGGUCCAGAAUGUCAAUAGGGCAAGAUGGGCAAAUGCCUGGUUGGCCGCGAUUGCCCUUGGCAAAGACUUACAGGGCAGAUCAAAGGAUCUCAAAACCUUGAAUUUGCACUAUGUGUUCUAAAAUUGAAGAGUUUCCUCUAUACAUAUUUUGUAUUGGUUUUUAAAGGAC